GCAUCCGUAGCUUAGUUGGAUAGAGCACUCGGCUACGAACCGAGAGGUUGGAGGUUCGAAUCCCCCCGGAUGCA
RNAcentral lists this transfer RNA (74 nucleotides) under Buchnera aphidicola (Cinara piceae). Its description in RNAcentral is "transfer RNA Arginine". It matches the Rfam family "tRNA". Rfam says of the family: Transfer RNA (tRNA) molecules are approximately 80 nucleotides in length. Their secondary structure includes four short double-helical elements and three loops (D, anti-codon, and T loops). The record is from RNAcentral. Lineage: Bacteria; Pseudomonadati; Pseudomonadota; Gammaproteobacteria; Enterobacterales; Erwiniaceae.